Molecule: ribosomal RNA, 292 nt
Filed under: uncultured bacterium
Lineage: Bacteria
Description: partial 16S ribosomal RNA
Rfam family: Bacterial small subunit ribosomal RNA
Source: RNAcentral
GUGCCAGCAGCCGCGGUAAUACAGAGGGUGCGAACGUUGCUCGGAAUUACUGGGCGUAAAGCGCGUGUAGGCGGGUCGGCAAGUCAGGCGUGAAAUCCCCAGGCUCAACCUGGGAACUGCGCUUGAAACUGCCGGUCUUGAGUAUCGGAGAGGGUGGCGGAAUUCCUGGUGUAGAGGUGAAAUUCGUAGAUAUCAGGAGGAACACCGGUGGCGAAGGCGGCCACCUGGACGAUUACUGACGCUGAGACGCGAAAGCGUGGGGAGCAAACAGGAUUAGAUACCCCGGUAGUCC